CAGCCGCCGCGGGAAUACGAAGGGGGCUAGCGUUGUUCGGAAUUACUGGGCGUAAAGCGUGCGCAGGCGGUGUUGUAAGACUGAUGUGAAAUCCCCGGGCUCAACCUGGGAACUGCAUUGGUGACUGCAACGCUGGAGUGCGGCAGAGGGGGAUGGAAUUCCGCGUGUAGCAGUGAAAUGCGUAGAUAUGCGGAGGAACACCGAUGGCGAAGGCAAUCCCCUGGGCCUGCACUGACGCUCAUGCACGAAAGCGUGGGGAGCAAACAGGAUUAGAUACCCCCGUAGUCCCUGUCUCUUAUAC
This 301-nucleotide ribosomal RNA is filed under the name uncultured bacterium. RNAcentral's name for it is "partial 16S ribosomal RNA". It matches the Rfam family "Bacterial small subunit ribosomal RNA", at positions 509 to 807 of the family's 1533-position model. The record is from RNAcentral.